RNAcentral lists this unclassified non-coding RNA (433 nucleotides) under uncultured Russula. Its description in RNAcentral is "sequence contains ITS2". The stretch from base 1 to 154 matches the Rfam family "5.8S ribosomal RNA". Lineage: Eukaryota; Fungi; Basidiomycota; Agaricomycetes; Russulales; Russulaceae. The record is from RNAcentral.
AACUUUUGACAACGGAUCUCUUGGCUCUCGCAUCGAUGAAGAACGCAGCGAAAUGCGAUACGUAAUGUGAGUUGCAGAAUUCAGUGAAUCAUCGAAUCUUUGAACGCACCUUGCGCCCUUUGGUAUUCCGAGGGGCACACCCGUUUGAGUGUCGUGACAUGCGCAAAACCUUCUCGGUUUCUCGACCGGGAAGGCUUUGGACUUUGGAGGCUUUUGCUUGCGUUCCUUUGUUGGAGCCAGGUCCGCUGAAAUGAUUUAAUGGGGUCUGGUUGGCCGAUCCUUGCUGUGCGAAGAUGUUUUCUACGGCUUGGGUUUUAGCUCUCCGGCUUCUAACCGUCUGACAGUAGACAAAUGGUCCACUCGACCCACAAACCUUGACCUCAAAUCGGGUGAGACUACCCGCUGAACUUAAGCAUAUCAAUAAGCGGAGGCU